UUGCGGCCAUAUCACGUUGAAACAGCGGUCCCCGUGCGAUCACCGAAGUAAAGCAACAUCGAGCGGGGUCAGUACCUAGAUGGGUGAACUCUUGGAAAUACCAGGUGAUGUAAG
Acanthosepion pharaonis is the source of this 114-nucleotide non-coding RNA. NCBI's taxonomy places the organism in Eukaryota, Metazoa, Mollusca, Cephalopoda, Sepiida, Sepiidae. The record is from the annotation of a GenBank genome assembly.